UCUACGGGAGGCAGCAGUGGGGAAUAUUGGACAAUGGGCGAAAGCCUGAUCCAGCCAUGCCGCGUGUGUGAAGAAGGCCUUCGGGUUGUAAAGCACUUUCAGUGGGGAAGAAAGCCUUGGGGCUAAUACCCUCGAGGAAGGACAUCACCCACAGAAGAAGCACCGGCUAACUCCGUGCCAGCAGCCGCGGUAAUACGGAGGGUGCGAGCGUUAAUCGGAAUUACUGGGCGUAAAGCGCGCGUAGGCGGUCUGAUAAGCCGGUUGUGAAAGCCCCGGGCUCAACCUGGGAACGGCAUCCGGAACUGUCAGGCUAGAGUGCAGGAGAGGAAGGUAGAAUUCCCGGUGUAGCGGUGAAAUGCGUAGAGAUCGGAAGGAAUACCAGUGGCGAAGGCGGCCUUCUGGACUGACACUGACGCUGAGGUGCGAAAGCGUGGGUAGCAAACAGGAUUAGAUACCCUGGUAUC
Molecule: ribosomal RNA, 464 nt
Filed under: Vreelandella stevensii
Lineage: Bacteria; Pseudomonadati; Pseudomonadota; Gammaproteobacteria; Oceanospirillales; Halomonadaceae
Description: partial 16S ribosomal RNA
Rfam family: Bacterial small subunit ribosomal RNA
Source: RNAcentral